This 253-nucleotide ribosomal RNA is filed under the name uncultured bacterium. RNAcentral's name for it is "partial 16S ribosomal RNA". It matches the Rfam family "Bacterial small subunit ribosomal RNA", at positions 524 to 776 of the family's 1533-position model. The record is from RNAcentral.
GACGUAGGGCGCGAGCGUUGUCCGGAUUUAUUGGGCGUAAAGAGCUCGUAGGCGGCUUGUCGCGUCGUUCGUGAAAACCUGGGGCUCAACUCCAGGCUUGCGGGCGAUACGGGCAGGCUAGAGUUCGGUAGGGGAGACUGGAGUUCCUGGUGUAGCGGUGAAAUGCGCAGAUAUCAGGAGGAACACCGGUGGCGAAGGCGGGUCUCUGGGCCGAUACUGACGCUGAGGAGCGAAAGCGUGGGGAGCGAACAGG